AAGUCGUAACAAGGUUUCCGUAGGUGAACCUGCGGAAGGAUCAUCAUUGAUGCGUAGCGAAUCGACACACACCUGUGAAUUGAAGAUGCGUGAGUGGUGGGGGGGGUGUAGAAGAGAGGGGGAGAAGGAAACGCGCAGUCAUCGAAUGAGGUUGGCAGGCAGUCUUUGCGCGGCAGCCAUAUCAUGUUCAUGUAUGGUAGCUGAGCGAGUCGUGUGUGCCGACAGCAUACGAGUAGGCGGCGCGACCCAACCCACACCCUUCAACUCUUACCACCACCACAACAUUUACAAACACCCAGUAUAUACUACACCACUGUCUGAGUAAACACACAAACAAACAAACAUACAACUUUCAACAAUGGAUCUCUUGGUUCUC
RNAcentral lists this unclassified non-coding RNA (376 nucleotides) under fungal sp. Its description in RNAcentral is "partial internal transcribed spacer region". The stretch from base 1 to 46 matches the Rfam family "Eukaryotic small subunit ribosomal RNA", at positions 1786 to 1831 of the family's 1831-position model. The record is from RNAcentral. Lineage: Eukaryota; Fungi.